This 1714-nucleotide long non-coding RNA is filed under the name Lathyrus oleraceus (garden pea). RNAcentral's name for it is "Pisum sativum (pea) long non-coding RNA (PSAT_LNC012094)". The record is from RNAcentral. Lineage: Eukaryota; Viridiplantae; Streptophyta; Magnoliopsida; Fabales; Fabaceae.
UAUGAUACAAAAUAUUUUCUCAAAACGACUUAUAAUAAAAAACGGAGGUAGUACACAUGAUCAGGAAAAGUACUCUGAGCUCCCUUCUCUAGCGAAUCACCUUGUUGUAGCCUUUAACUACUCUGCCGCGCUGGAGCUCAUCGUCGUCGGCGGCGGAUCUCCUAACAUGAAAAACCAUACAUCAAAACCUUCAUUUCACUUAGCUAUCAACGAAUCCCUUAACAGUUUCCUCCAAUCCGUGCCCUAAAUUAUAAAGUCAAGCAAAUCUUCCAAGAACCCUAAUCUACAAAUCUCAAAAUUAAAUCCUCCAAUGGAGGAAUCAAAGUCCCUUGGGUUAGGGUUUAAUUCCUCUAUUCAAGACCUACAUAAUGGUACACAGUUCAAAGGAAAACAGAGAGUAACAGGAACCUACCGAUGAAGGCCGACGUGAGACGAUUUCAAAGUACCACGAAAAAGAUGAAGAUGAUUUUGGUAAGUUCCUUACUAUGAACUUCUUCCUUCCUUUCUUCUUUUUCACAUGACUUCUUCUGUUGAAUCCUCUCUUCUCAAUCCGUGUGUGAUGAUGUGUGUAUAAUUGAGAGAGAAUGAUGAGGGUCUGAGAAAGAACGGUGAGGGAUCGAGGGAGAUGCUUAGGUGAUGAUCGUUGAUGAUUGGUGAUAACUGCUUUGUGAUUGUGUGAGUGGUGAGAGGAGCACAAGAGUGAGAGUGAUUUUAGAGAGUGUUCAAUAAUUGGAGAGUGAAUUCGGAGGAAAGUGAAAGAUGAAGAUUGAAUCAGAGAGCCCGAAAUGUGAGAGUUAUGCUUGAUUUAUAUAGUGAUUAAGAUGGUGGUUAGGGAUUGAAAGAGUUAUCUUCUAUUAGAUUAAUCAAGAGUAAUUUAGUUAUGAAACUCAUAUACUUUAGCACAGUGUUUAAAAGUUAGUCAGAACUAGUUGGUUAUGAUUUAGGGUGAUUUGAGUAAUUAUAGGAAUAGUUAGUUAAAAUGAAGUUAGUUAAUUCUAAGUUGGAAUUAAAUUUAUAACUUAGUUAUUAAAUCUGAAUUUGUUUUUAUUGUGAGAAUCCUGUUAGUUUUUGAAUCGAGUUUAAAUGAAUGCAUUCCUAUUAAAUUGAUUUUCUAUUGGACUGUUACUCAUUGUUAGUGUUACUUGCUGCUAUCAGUUAUCUCUUAAAGGUGUUAGUUAUUUAGAAUAGAUUGAUCAUUGAAUUGUUGUUGUUAAUCGUUAGAAGGUGUUUGCAUUGUUAUGCUAUUGAAUUUAGUUAAUUCAAUUUCAGUUUGAUUUGAAUGUUAGUUAUGGUUGCAAAUGGUUAGUUCGAAAUAUGAAGUUAGAUUGAAUCAAAAUGUUAGUCAUUCUUGGCUAAAUGCAAUUAGGUAUGUUAAUGUUGAAUGUGAGUUGUAAUAUGGAUGUAUGUAUGUUUUGCAAGGCUGUUAUCCUUAAUUGUUGGAUAUGGACAUGGAAUGCUUGAUGGAGCUUUAUAUAUGGACAUGGCUUGGAAUUGAUUUGGAUGUUAGAACAUGCUAAUCAUAUGGAAUUGCUUGGAACACCAUGGUUAUGGGAUGGAAAGUGAACUUUGGUCAUGUUGUAGUUUGUAUUAGUUAUUUGGAAUGUUGUAAUGAUCUAUGUAAUUGGAAAUGUAUGGUUGUAAUUAUGUAAUUUGAAAAUGAAUCUAUGUAAUUCAUGGUUUUUAGACAUUGAAUAAAAAAAGGGAAUUUUGGAAA